GAUUAACGCUAGCGGCAGGCAUAAUACAUGCAAGUUGAACGGCAGCACAGGUAGCAAUACUGGGUGGCGAGUGGCGCACGGGUGCGUAACACGUAUGCAACCUACCCUAUACAGGCGAAUAACCUUUAGAAAUGAGGGCUAAUACGCCGUAGUAUUACAGAUGGGCAUCUAUUUGUAAUUAAAGAUCUAUCGGUAUAGGAUGGGCAUGCGUCCCAUUAGUUAGUUGGUAAGGUAACGGCUUACCAAGACGAUGAUGGGUAGGGGAUCUGAGAGGACUUACCCCCACACUGGUACUGAGACACGGACCAGACUCCUACGGGAGGCAGCAGUAAGGAAUAUUGGGCAAUGGCCGCGAGGCUGACCCAGCCAUGCCGCGUGCAGGAAGACGGCCUUAUGGGUUGUAAACUGCUUUUAUACGGGAAUAAUAGAGUGUACGCGUACAUUUAUGCAAGUAUCGUAUGAAUAAGCAUCGGCUAACUCCGUG
This 484-nucleotide ribosomal RNA is filed under the name uncultured bacterium. RNAcentral describes it as "partial 16S ribosomal RNA". It matches the Rfam family "Bacterial small subunit ribosomal RNA", at positions 28 to 507 of the family's 1533-position model. The record is from RNAcentral.